UUCGCCUGUUUUUCAAAAACAUCGCCAGAAAAUAACUUCUGGUUGAAUCUGCCCGGUGAUUUGAUUUAACGGCCGCAGUAUCCUGACUGUGCUAAGGUAGCAUAAUCAUUAGUCUUUUAAUUGGAGACUCGUAUAAAUGAUCUGACGAGAAACUUUCUAUUUUAGCAGUACUAUGAACUUAAGAGAGAGAUCAAAACUUCUCUUUACACCAAAAGGACGACAAGACCCUAUAAAACUUUACCUUGAUUAAAUCUAUUUCCUAAGAGCAUUUCUUACUUUAUGAAAGGUUAUGCUGGGGCGGCAAAUUUUAAUAUUAACAAACUUUAUUCUAACAAAUUGUUUGAAUUUUAUAAACACUUUAUGUACCUAAGACCAAGUUACUUUAGGGAUAACAGCGUUAUAUUUCUCUAGAGCCCUUAUCGACAGAAAUGUUUACGACCUCGAUGUUGAAUUGAGUAACCUAAGCGGAGCAGCCCUUGCUAAAGGAAGUCUGUUCGACUUUUAAAUUCUCACAUGAUCUGAGUUCCAAACCGGA
This 535-nucleotide ribosomal RNA is filed under the name Harrieta faxoni. RNAcentral's name for it is "partial 16S ribosomal RNA". It matches the Rfam family "Bacterial large subunit ribosomal RNA", at positions 1795 to 2621 of the family's 2925-position model. The record is from RNAcentral. Lineage: Eukaryota; Metazoa; Arthropoda; Malacostraca; Isopoda; Sphaeromatidae.